AGUGAACGCUGGCGGUAGGCCUAACACAUGCAAGUCGAACGGCAGCACAGUAAGAGCUUGCUCUUACGGGUGGCGAGUGGCGGACGGGUGAGGAAUACAUCGGAAUCUACUUUUUCGUGGGGGAUAACGUAGGGAAACUUACGCUAAUACCGCAUACGACCUACGGGUGAAAGCAGGGGAUCUUCGGACCUUGCGCGAUUGAAUGAGCCGAUGUCGGAUUAGCUAGUUGGCGGGGUAAAGGCCCACCAGGGCGACGAUCCGUAGCUGGUCUGAGAGGAUGAUCAGCCAAACUGGAACUGAGACACGGUCCAGACUCCUACGGGAGGCAGCAGUGGGGAAUAUUGGACAAUGGGCGCAAGCCUGAUCCAGCCAGACCGCGUGGGUGAAGAAGGCCUUCGGGUUGUAAAGCCCUUUUGUUGGGAAAGAAAAGCAGCAGGUUAAUACCCCGCUGUUCUGACGGUACCCAAAGAAUAAGCACCGGCUAACUUCGU
RNAcentral lists this ribosomal RNA (491 nucleotides) under uncultured bacterium. RNAcentral's name for it is "partial 16S ribosomal RNA". It matches the Rfam family "Bacterial small subunit ribosomal RNA", at positions 29 to 506 of the family's 1533-position model. The record is from RNAcentral.